CAAUAGCGUAUAUUAAAGUUGUUGCAGUUAAAAAGCUCGAAGUUGGAUUUCGGGGCAGCCUGGCUGGUCCGCCGCAAGGCGAGUACUGGUCAGCCGCCCUUCCUCUCGAAAGCCCCGACUGCUCUUCGUUGCAGUGGUCGGGUAGUUCGGGACGUUUACUUUGAAAAAAUUAGAGUGUUCAAGGCAGGCCUACGCCUGAAUACAUUAGCAUGGAAUAAUGGAAGAGGACCUCGGUCCUAUUUUGUUGGUUUCCAGGGCCGAAGUAAUGAUUAAGAGGGACAGUUGGGGGCAUUCGUAUUUAAUUGUCAGAGGUGAAAUUCUCGGAUUUAUGAAAGACGAACAACUGCGAAAGCAUUUGCCAAGGAUGUUUUCAUUAA
RNAcentral lists this ribosomal RNA (377 nucleotides) under uncultured eukaryote. RNAcentral's name for it is "partial 18S ribosomal RNA". It matches the Rfam family "Eukaryotic small subunit ribosomal RNA", at positions 592 to 976 of the family's 1831-position model. The record is from RNAcentral.